RNAcentral lists this ribosomal RNA (382 nucleotides) under uncultured eukaryote. Its description in RNAcentral is "partial 18S ribosomal RNA". It matches the Rfam family "Eukaryotic small subunit ribosomal RNA", at positions 592 to 976 of the family's 1831-position model. The record is from RNAcentral.
UGUAAGCGUAUACCAAAGUUGUUGCAGUUAAAACGCUCGUAGUCGGAAUUUGGCAGUUCCGGAAGUGUGCACGUCGUGUGCGCACUUUGCGGGGACUGCUUUUGUGGUCUUGCGUAGGAUGAGGCACUUUCAUUAGUGAACGUCCUCACGCAACCACUCUUCACUGUGAGAAAAUCAGAGUGCUCAAAGCAGGCAUUUGCCGUGAAUGUAUUAGCAUGGAAUAAUAGAAUAGGACUCGGUUCUAUUUUGUUGGUUUGUUGGGACUGAGUAAUGAUUAAGAGGGACAGUUGGGGGCAUUUGUAUUCCGGCGCUAGAGGUGAAAUUCUUAGAUUGCCGGAAGACAAACUGCUGCGAAAGCGUCUGCCAAGGAUGUUUUCAUUGG